Molecule: ribosomal RNA, 258 nt
Filed under: Triticum aestivum (bread wheat)
Lineage: Eukaryota; Viridiplantae; Streptophyta; Magnoliopsida; Poales; Poaceae
Description: partial small subunit ribosomal RNA
Source: RNAcentral
AUGCAUGUUCUUGGCUUGGCUUGGGUUCGUCCGCUGAUGGAGAUAGAUUUGAUUUUACCUGUACUUGCAGGGAAGAUAGACUCGUACAUGGUCGUGCAGUAUGGGAGCCAGGAGCACAACGGCAGCACGGCCCGAGCGAGGAUUGCUUUGUCCAACCUGCACAAGAAUGCCAAGAAGGCCUUCUCGGAGACGAUUAAGGACAUGUACCUGCACUACAAUGAGAGAUCUGGGCUGGUUCUUUGUGGCUUCCAAAAUUGA